This 517-nucleotide ribosomal RNA is filed under the name uncultured bacterium. RNAcentral describes it as "bacterial SSU rRNA". It matches the Rfam family "Bacterial small subunit ribosomal RNA", at positions 9 to 526 of the family's 1533-position model. The record is from RNAcentral.
GAGUUUGAUCCUGGCUCAGGACGAACGCUGGCGGCGUGCCUAACACAUGCAAGUCGAACGAAGCACCUUACUUGAUUCUUCGGAUGAAGGUCUGGUGACUGAGUGGCGGACGGGUGAGUAACGCGUGGGUAACCUGCCCUGUACAGGGGGAUAACAGUUGGAAACGGCUGCUAAUACCGCAUAAGCGCACGAGAGGACAUCCUCUUGUGUGAAAAACUCCGGUGGUACAGGAUGGGCCCGCGUCUGAUUAGGCAGUUGGCGGGGUAACGGCCCACCAAACCGACGAUCAGUAGCCGGCCUGAGAGGGCGACCGGCCACAUUGGGACUGAGACACGGCCCAAACUCCUACGGGAGGCAGCAGUGGGGAAUAUUGGGCAAUGGAGGAAACUCUGACCCAGCAACGCCGCGUGGAGGAAGAAGGUUUUCGGAUCGUAAACUCCUGUCCUUGGAGACGAGUAGAAGACGGUAUCCAAGGAGGAAGCCCCGGCUAACUACGUGCCAGCCGCCGCGGUAAUUC